This 467-nucleotide ribosomal RNA is filed under the name uncultured bacterium. RNAcentral describes it as "partial 16S ribosomal RNA". It matches the Rfam family "Bacterial small subunit ribosomal RNA", at positions 28 to 507 of the family's 1533-position model. The record is from RNAcentral.
GACGAACGCUGGCGGCGUGCUUAACACAUGCAAGUCGAACGGAAAGGCCUCUUUCGGGGGGUACUCGAGUUGCGAACGGGUGAGUAACACGUAAGUAACCUGCCCUUCACUUUGGGUUAACUUCAGGAAACUGGGGCUAAUACCGGAUAGGAGCUCCUGCUGCAUGGUUGGUGUUGGAAAGUUUCGGCGGGUGGGUGUGGACUCGCGGCUUAUCCGCUUGUUAGUGGGGAAGUGGCUUGCCAAGGCGUUGCCGAGUAGCCGGACUGAGAGGGUGAUAGGCCACACUGGGACUGAGAGGCGGCCCAGAUUCCGACGGGAGGCAGCAGUGGGGAAUACUGCACAAGGGGUGGCAGCCUGAUGCAGAAACGCCGUGGGCGGGAUGACGGCCUUCGGGUUGUAAACCGCUUGCGCUCAUGACGAAGCUUUGUGUGACGGUAGUGGGUAAAGAAGCACCGGCUAACUACGUG